Molecule: long non-coding RNA, 510 nt
Organism: Homo sapiens (human)
Lineage: Eukaryota; Metazoa; Chordata; Mammalia; Primates; Hominidae
Source: Ensembl
GGAGCUCCAGCGGCAGCUGCCGAGGGAGGGACCGUCCCCGCUGUGAGCUGGGCGGAGCUCGGGAAGGCCCGCAGCCUUCAGCUGAACUGUCUCAAUGGGACCAGAGCUCUGGCGCGUCCCUUGGUGGAUCCGCUGGGCCUCUACCUGCUGGCUUCUCAGUCCGGCCGCCGGGUCCACCAGAUGUCGGCCAAGAGUGUAGGACUUGGCCACCAGCUUGAAAUAUUUAAGACGGACCAGAUGGCUCUCCUCGGCUGCAGAACCGCUAAGAUCCAGUAGAGGAUGCAUAAUCUCACCGCUGAACAUUCCUGACAGUGUGAUUAUGACAUAUGACUUUACCCAGCACCAGAGUGAGUUGGUGCUCCAGCCCUGGCCCAGCCCACAGAAGAGAUUGUGACAUAUCACUGGACCCAACACUGAGAUGUUGCCCAAAAAGAGAUUGUGACAUAACUUUGGGCCCAGCACCGAGGUGAUGUCUCCCCUCUCCUGCCUGGGGCUUGCCCACCGAAGAGA